AUUCAGCUGAUGAGUUCUAAGCAGGACGAAACGCACGUCCUGGAU
This is a non-coding RNA of Schistosoma curassoni, 45 nucleotides long. Lineage: Eukaryota; Metazoa; Platyhelminthes; Trematoda; Strigeidida; Schistosomatidae. The record is from Rfam.